GACGAACGCUGGCGGCGUGCUUAACACAUGCAAGUCGAACGGAAAGGCCCUGCUUUUGUGGGGUGCUCGAGUGGCGAACGGGUGAGUAACACGUGAGUAACCUGCCCUUGACUUUGGGAUAACUUCAGGAAACUGGGGCUAAUACCGGAUAGGAGCUCCUGCAGCAUGGUGGGGGUUGGAAAGUUUCGGCGGUUGGGGAUGGACUCGCGGCUUAUCAGCUUGUCGGUGGGGUAGUGGCUUACCAAGGCUUUGACGGGUAGCCGGCCUGAGAGGGUGACCGGCCACAUUGGGACUGAGAUACGGCCCAGACUCCUACGGGAGGCAGCAGUGGGGAAUAUUGCACAAUGGGCGGAAGCCUGAUGCAGCAACGCCGCGUGCGGGAUGACGGCCUUCGGGUUGUAAACCGCUUUCGCCUGUGACGAAGCGUGAGUGACGGUAAUGGGUAAAGAAGCACCGGCUAACUACGUG
RNAcentral lists this ribosomal RNA (468 nucleotides) under uncultured bacterium. Its description in RNAcentral is "partial 16S ribosomal RNA". It matches the Rfam family "Bacterial small subunit ribosomal RNA", at positions 28 to 507 of the family's 1533-position model. The record is from RNAcentral.